GGGCCCGUAGCUUAGCCCGGCCGAGAGCGGCCGGCUCAUAACCGGUUGAUCGACGGUUCGAAUCCGUCCGGGCCCA
Molecule: transfer RNA, 76 nt
Filed under: Thermoplasmata archaeon
Lineage: Archaea; Methanobacteriati; Thermoplasmatota; Thermoplasmata
Also listed under: 1 other name
Description: tRNA-Ile
Rfam family: tRNA
About the family: Transfer RNA (tRNA) molecules are approximately 80 nucleotides in length.
Source: RNAcentral